GCUUAGCUCAGUGGCAGAACAUCUGCUUUGUAUGCAGAAGGGCCCUGUUUCAAUCACUGGCACCGACA
Molecule: non-coding RNA, 68 nt
Organism: Podarcis lilfordi (Lilford's wall lizard)
Lineage: Eukaryota; Metazoa; Chordata; Lepidosauria; Squamata; Lacertidae
Source: the annotation of a GenBank genome assembly